UACCAGACUCCUACGGGAGGCAGCAGUGGGGAAUAUUGCACAAUGGGGGAAACCCUGACGCAGUGACGCCGCGUAUAGGACGAAGGUCUUCGGAUUGUAAACUAUUGUCGUUAGGGAAGAGAAAGGACAGUACCUAAGGAGGAAGCUCCGGCUAACUACGUGCCAGCAGCCACGGUAAUACGUAGGGAGCAAGCGUUAUCCGGAUUUAUUGGGUGUAAAGGGUGCGUAGACGGGAAAUUAAGUUAGUUGUGAAAUCCCUCGGCUCAACUGAGGAACUGCAACUAAAACUGGUUUUCUUGAGUGUUGGAGAGGAAAGCGGAAUUCCUAGUGUAGCGGUGAAAUGCGUAGAUAUUAGGAGGAACACCAGUGGCGAAGGCGACUUUCUGGACUGUACCUGACGCUGAUGCACGAAAGCGUGGGGAGCAAACAGGAUUAGAUACCCCAGUA
This 447-nucleotide ribosomal RNA is filed under the name uncultured bacterium. RNAcentral describes it as "bacterial SSU rRNA". It matches the Rfam family "Bacterial small subunit ribosomal RNA", at positions 329 to 792 of the family's 1533-position model. The record is from RNAcentral.